GACGAACGCUGGCGGCGUGCUUAACACAUGCAAGUUGAACGGGGCAUAUUUGAAGGGUAACCGGAGGGUAUGGUCUAGUGGCGAACGGGUGAGUAAUGCAUGAGAACGUAUCCUCAAGAGGGGGACAACAUUGGGAAACCGAUGCUAAUACCCCAUAAGCCGGGAGGUAAAAGGAGCAAUCCGCUUGAGGAGCGGUUCAUGUCCUAUCAGCUGGUUGGUGAGGUAACGGCUCACCAAGGCGAAGACGGGUAGCCGGCCUGAGAGGGUGAACGGCCACACUGGAACUGAGAGACGGUCCAGACUCCUACGGGAGCAGCAGUGGGAAUAUUGGGCAAUGGGGGAAACCCUGACCCAGCGACGCCGCGUGAGGGAAGAAGGCCUUAGGGUCGUAAACCUCUGUUGUGUGGGAAGAAGAGCGUGACGGUACCACACGAGGAAGUCCCGGCUAACUACGUGCCAGCAGCCGCGGUAAAACGUGCGUG
This 482-nucleotide ribosomal RNA is filed under the name uncultured bacterium. Its description in RNAcentral is "bacterial SSU rRNA". It matches the Rfam family "Bacterial small subunit ribosomal RNA", at positions 28 to 533 of the family's 1533-position model. The record is from RNAcentral.